This 1876-nucleotide long non-coding RNA is filed under the name Theobroma cacao (cacao). RNAcentral describes it as "long non-coding RNA (TCAC_LNC002583)". Lineage: Eukaryota; Viridiplantae; Streptophyta; Magnoliopsida; Malvales; Malvaceae. The record is from RNAcentral.
UUUUCUUAUAAAACAAUAUUUUUAGAGUUAUACAUAAAUAAUCUUUGCAGCGUAAAAGCAAAAUAAAUUCAUACAUACUGUAAUACAGUAAGCCAGAGUAUUUAAUUUAAUUUACAAUAACCAGUAGGCUCCCGAAUAACUAAAAGUAAAGAGGACUGUGAACCUACAGUUUGGAGGAUGCAAAUCCAAUAGUAGCCUUGAUGAAAUCAGCUAUCUACAGCCUAUUCUGAGCUUGAAAUGGAUGGAAAGGAGGGUGGUAAAAUUAUAUAAUCCCAGUGAGUAAACAAACAUCAUUCAAAAUAUCUAAAGUCGAGUAAAAAGAUAUGAUUAAAAUAUUUCAUCUAAAUAUGUAUUUCAUAACAUAAAUAUUCAUUUCAUUUAAAUAGUCAACAUGGCUUAUGAGUAUCUUAAAAGCUUGGCUCCUGCCAAAAUCAUUCUCGGGAAUACCUUGGCCGAGGUAUUUAACCGAGUCUACCAAGGUUGUUAAAAAGUUCGUAUACACAUAAACAUAUUUUUAGUUUGAAAAACAUAGUCGUUCCUUGGCGUUAGCGGAGUUCAUUAUCACGAGGUGGUUCGGUGUGACAUGAACUCUAACCAUACCUCAAGAGAUACCCUACGCGCCUCUUCGACUAAGGUACAUAUAUAACCAGAUUUCGUGCCCCUCUAAUAGGCUGGUCCACAGAACCCGCCCACUGCAGCAAGCUAAACCCACUAUAUAAAAAAAUUUUGACAGCAUGACAUGGCUAAUAUAAUACUAUCCAGCCUGUAAAUGUAAAAUAGAGCAAUUCAUACAGUUCACAAAAACACAACCCAACCAGUCAUGCCAACACAUUAACAUAAGCCAUCAAUUCAAAUAAUAAAUUUACAACACCUCAAGUGGUCUCCAGUUACUCUACUUUCAAAGUCAUCAUUCAAUUUCAAGACAAUUUAUAAAAUCAUUUUAUUUAAACACAUUUUGUUUGUAAAACCUAGAAAUUAACCAUUUAAACUCAUAUUCCAUAAAAUUCACAAAAAUCGAAUAAAAAGACCACUUUAGAUAAUUAAAAUGAUGAUAAGGUUACUCAUUAUUUCGAGAGUCAAAUUUUUAAAGUACUUUGACUAUCGAUCCUCGGGUACAAUUUCUUUGCCCUUAGCAGAGGAUUCACCACCUAGACAUGAUGCAAAAUCAAGUAAUUUACCACAUUGGUGCUAAACCGUUAUAAAACUAUAUGGAUGCAUGAAAUGGAAUGCAAAUUGUUCGAAUUAUCGUCUAAACACGGUGUUCGCCUAAUUCGAUCUAUCACUUAAUUAAUUGGCCAAUUCAACUCUAAUUAACUGUAUUUUUCUUUCAAUUCUCCAAACCAUCAAUCACAAAUUCAAUAGCAUAAAAUUUAGCAACAUCACCUUCACAUUUUUCCUUGGGAAUUUCGGCCAUGAUGGGUGCAUCAAUACUAUAAUUUUUUCUACUUGAUUUUCUCACUGAAAUUCAUCAUUUCCUAACCAAAUCACUUGAAAUAACAAUCAAAAUCAUCAUCGAUAUUCCACAUGGAGAAUUCGGCCAAUGAUGGGUAAUGAGAGAAAAAAAAAUUUUCUUGUUGGUUUUUCAUGCUACACAUCAUUAACUAACUAAAAACACUAAAAUACAUUGAAAUCUAACCAAAUCAAGCAUAAAACUCCUCCCCCCAUGUCCGGCCAGCAAGGGAUUCAUCAUGAUUUCAUAUGAUUCAACCAUGGAAAAUCAAAAAGAAUGCAUGGGAAAGGUAGAUCUCAAGCUUUAUUGAAAAAAUCUUACAUUUUUCACUUGUUUCCUUGAAUUUUCACACUUUUCCUUUGAAUUUUUCCACCUAGGGUUCUUGUUCUUUCUUUUCUUCCUUUUUUCUUCUUUGGCCAGCCAUAU